AUUGAACGCUAGCGGGAUGCUUUACACAUGCAAGUCGAACGGCAGCGCGGACUUCGGUCUGGCGGCGAGUGGCGAACGGGUGAGUAAUGUAUCGGAACGUGCCCAGUAGCGGGGGAUAACUACGCGAAAGCGUAGCUAAUACCGCAUACGCCCUACGGGGGAAAGCAGGGGAUCGUAAGACCUUGCCCUAUUGGAGCGGCCGAUAUCGGAUUAGCUAGUUGGUGAGGUAACGGCUAACCAAGGCGACGAUCCGUAGCUGGUUUGAGAGGACGACCAGCCACACUGGGACUGAGACACGGCCCAGACUCCUACGGGAGGCAGCAGUGGGGAAUUUUGGACAAUGGGGGCAACCCUGAUCCAGCCAUCCCGCGUGUGCGAUGAAGGCCUUCGGGUUGUAAAGCACUUUUGGCAGGAAAGAAACGUCGCGGGCUAAUACCCCGUGGAACUGACGGUACCUGCAGAAUAAGCACCGGCUAACUACGUG
Molecule: ribosomal RNA, 484 nt
Filed under: uncultured bacterium
Lineage: Bacteria
Description: partial 16S ribosomal RNA
Rfam family: Bacterial small subunit ribosomal RNA
Source: RNAcentral